AAAAGUAAAAUCAAAAGUAAAAGUAAAUUCACUUUAGCUACGUGGCCCAUGGCUGCCACGGACCAUGGCUGCCACUACCAUAAUCCUUUGCGGUACGUGCCUUGUCGAUGUGAUCAAAUGGCGGACGACAACACAAGAAGGUCGAAAAGCGUAUUGUAAGAUUGUGUUGGAUAUCCCUAAAGAGUGAAUCUCACAACCCUUUCUAAAAUAAGCCAAGGCAGCAAGACAGCUAAGGGUAUUGGCUGCAAAUGGGAAACAAGCAUCAAUCUUUCUGUGUCUUCUGUGUAUUAAAAGCUUCGUAUCGCUUUGUAUAUUAGCUACUAAUGAAUGAAAUGAAGUCAAAAAUAGCGUAGUUCCAGUUGGAUCUAGAGGGAUCUAAAAAAGGACACGGGAGGCUUGCGUUUGUAGGCCAGCCCAGUCAGUUGUCAAUGUGUGAUGUAACGUCAUCAGGUUCCUCCCUUUCGCAAGAGCUCAUUGGAAACUGUUGUUGUCGAGACAGGUUUGGUGGAUAUUUUUAUCACUUGAUAUUAGAACACCUUCCUCACAGUAAGACUGCAACUUUGUUCUAUUCUACAAUGGCUUGGUAACAUGAUGUUUAUAAUCCAAACAAUGUGGGUAGUUUUUGCAUUUGGUUCAUUUCUGAGCUGUGGUCUUAACAUGAAUUUCCCCACCACCGAGUCAUAAGUACAGAGAAAAACUGUUAUGUACACACUUGGAUUGCAUCCUAAUCAAGGCCAAAAUAUAAAGCAAAAUGACAGACAGAGAAGAUGUAGUUAAAGUAUGACCUCGAAACGUCGUAAAAAUCACUUGCUGUCUUUAUCGUUUAUUUUACUACUGAUUUAUUUAUUCAAAGUCAAUAUUGUGAAAAGAUAGUUUUUAAUAUAUAUAUGACAUAUAAAUACAGUGAGACCAUCAAAGGUUCACCUGUUAAGGAGCCAUCAUCUAUUCAGUGGCCACUUCUCAAAGUAUGUGUGUAUAUAAACUAGAAUAAUUAAACAAUCUCUAAUAACUGAGCCACAUAUUUACAAGUCCAUGCAAAAUAGAGGUCUUGUUGUUUUACAUUUUAAACACAUCUUCCGAAAUCAUUAUUUCAGUAAUCAUUUCUAUAAUACAGGUAAUUAAAUGUUGAAGCACCUAAUCAAGGCAUAUCAAACUCAU
Molecule: long non-coding RNA, 1158 nt
Organism: Exaiptasia diaphana
Lineage: Eukaryota; Metazoa; Cnidaria; Anthozoa; Actiniaria; Aiptasiidae
Exons: 2
Source: RefSeq, a predicted model, not a curated record